AUGAAGAGAGCUUGCUCUCUGAUUCAGCGGCGGACGGGUGAGUAAUGCCUAGGAAUCUGCCUAGUAGUGGGGGACAACGUUUCGAAAGGAACGCUAAUACCGCAUACGUCCUACGGGAGAAAGUGGGGGAUCUUCGGACCUCACGCUAUUAGAUGAGCCUAGGUCGGAUUAGCUAGUUGGUAGGGUAACGGCCUACCAAGGCGACGAUCCGUAACUGGUCUGAGAGGAUGAUCAGUCACACUGGAACUGAGACACGGUCCAGACUCCUACGGGAGGCAGCAGUGGGGAAUAUUGGACAAUGGGCGAAAGCCUGAUCCAGCCAUGCCGCGUGUGUGAAGAAGGCCCUCGGGUCGUAAAGCACUUUAAGUUGGGAGGAAGGGCUUGCAGCGAAUACCUGUGAGUUUUGACGUUACCAACAGAAUAAGCACCGGCUAACUUCGUGCCAGCAGCCGCGGUAAUACGAAGGGUGCAAGCGUUAAUCGGAAUUACUGGGCGUAAAGCGCGCGUAGGUGGCUUG
Molecule: ribosomal RNA, 517 nt
Filed under: Pseudomonas sp.
Lineage: Bacteria; Pseudomonadati; Pseudomonadota; Gammaproteobacteria; Pseudomonadales; Pseudomonadaceae
Description: bacterial SSU rRNA
Rfam family: Bacterial small subunit ribosomal RNA
Source: RNAcentral